RNAcentral lists this transfer RNA (82 nucleotides) under Poronia punctata. RNAcentral's name for it is "tRNA-Asp". It matches the Rfam family "tRNA". From Rfam's summary of the family: Transfer RNA (tRNA) molecules are approximately 80 nucleotides in length. Their secondary structure includes four short double-helical elements and three loops (D, anti-codon, and T loops). Lineage: Eukaryota; Fungi; Ascomycota; Sordariomycetes; Xylariales; Xylariaceae. The record is from RNAcentral.
UCUUGAUUGGUCUAGUGGUCAGGAUACCUGCUUGUCAUGCAACAAAUCGCAGGUGGCCGGGGUUCGAUUCCCCGAUCGAGAG